Molecule: regulatory RNA element, 83 nt
Organism: Lachnospiraceae bacterium
Lineage: Bacteria; Bacillati; Bacillota; Clostridia; Lachnospirales; Lachnospiraceae
Rfam family: S10-Clostridia ribosomal protein leader
Source: Rfam
UGAUAGCUGUGAAGCGAGAGGUUGCUGUCUCGAAAGAGCAGGAGUUCCGCGGAGCGAAUGUCAAGUCUCGAUACUGACGACAA